GACGAACGCUGGCGGCGCGCUUAACACAUGCAAGUCGAACGGAAAGGCCUGCUUUCCCUUGUGGAUUGCGGGUACUCGAGUGGCGAACGGGUGAGUAACACGUGGGUGAUCUGCCCCCAACUUGGGUAUAAGCCUGGGAAACUGGGUCUAAUUCCCGAUAGGACUGCAGGGUGGUGCCUGUGGUGGAAAACGAUUUUCUAGUGGUUGGGGAUGAGCUCGCGGCCUAUCAGCUUGUUGGUGGGGUAAUGGCCUACCAAGGCGGCGACGGGUAGCCGGCCUGGGAGGGUGGACGGCCACAUUGGGACUGAGAUACGGCCCAGACUCCUACGGGAGGCAGCAGUGGGGAAUAUUGCACAAUGGGCGGAAGCCUGAUGCAGCGACGCCGCGUGGGGGAUGACGGCCUUCGGGUUGUAAACUCCUUUCGACCGCGAGGAAGCCACCUGGUUGGAAGGGUGGUGACGGUAGUGGUAGAAGAAGCACCGGCUAACUACGUG
RNAcentral lists this ribosomal RNA (494 nucleotides) under uncultured bacterium. RNAcentral describes it as "partial 16S ribosomal RNA". It matches the Rfam family "Bacterial small subunit ribosomal RNA", at positions 28 to 507 of the family's 1533-position model. The record is from RNAcentral.